This 85-nucleotide transfer RNA is filed under the name Parcubacteria group bacterium ADurb.Bin316. Its description in RNAcentral is "tRNA-Ser". It matches the Rfam family "tRNA". From Rfam's summary of the family: Transfer RNA (tRNA) molecules are approximately 80 nucleotides in length. Their secondary structure includes four short double-helical elements and three loops (D, anti-codon, and T loops). The record is from RNAcentral.
GCCGGAAUGGCGAAAUUGGUAGACGCACAUGCUUCAGGUGCAUGCGGGCGCAAGUCCAUGGAGGUUCAAGUCCUCUUUCCGGCAC